CAAGUCGAACGGUUGUAGCAAUACAAUAGUGGCGCACGGGUGCGUAACACGUAUGCAACCUACCUUAUAGACGGGGAUAGCCUUUGGAAACGGAGAUUAAUACCCGAUAGUAAUAUUGACUGGCAUCGGUUUAUAUUUAAAGAUUUAUCGCUAUAAGCUGGGCAUGCGUCCAAUUAGUUAGUUGGUUAGGUAACGGCUGACCAAGACGAUGAUUGGUAGGGGAACUGAGAGGUUAAUCCCCCACACUGGCACUGAGAUACGGGCCAGACUCCUACGGGAGGCAGCAGUAGGGAAUAUUGGGCAAUGGAGGCAACUCUGACCCAGCCAUGCCGCGUGCAGGAUGAAGGCGUUAUGCGUUGUAAACUGCUUUUAUAUAGGAAGAAAUAGACCUUGCGAGGUAAGUUGACGGUACUAUAUGAAUAAGCACCGGCUAACUCCGUGCCAGCAGCCGCGGUAAUACGGAGGGUGCAAGCGUUGUCCGGAUUUAUUGGGUUUAAAGGGUGCGUAGGCGGUUUAUUAAGUCAGUGGUGAAAGACGGUCGCUCAACGAUUGCAGUGCCAUUGAUACUGGUAGACUUGAGUGAGAUUGACGUAGCUGGAAUGGAUAGUGUAGCGGUGAAAUGCAUAGAUAUUAUCCAGAACACCAAUUGCGUAUGCUAGUUACUAAGUCUCAACUGACGCUGAGGCACGAAAGUGUGGGUAUCAAACGGAUUAGAUACCCUGGUAGUCCACACUGUAAACGAUGAUAACUAACUGUUGGCCUUUGGGUC
This 769-nucleotide ribosomal RNA is filed under the name uncultured bacterium. Its description in RNAcentral is "bacterial SSU rRNA". It matches the Rfam family "Bacterial small subunit ribosomal RNA", at positions 58 to 841 of the family's 1533-position model. The record is from RNAcentral.